GCCUCCCGAGUAGCUGGGACUACAGGCAUGUGCCACCAUGCCCAGAGACGCUAAAUCGAACUGCACACUGAGGAGCAUGCGGAAGAGAAAACCGGGCUGGCUACCGGAAGAACUCUGGGGAGAUGAGGGAAGGCCCUGGGAAAGUGGGGCUCCAGGAGGCUGAAGAUGACCGUCCCUCUCCUAGAUGGGGCAGCUGGAUGAGAGAGUGCCAGGGUCCAGCCACCUGCUGAGCGUGGGAGAGGUGUCCUCGGGGCUUAGCCUCCACCUUCUCCUCCCCUGAGGCUGGACUGGAGCGGAUGCAAAGCCAUCCUCCGCAGCCCUGUGGCUUUCAGAGUUUCUACCUCCGUGCCAAUCUGCGUCCUGGUCUCUGCCUCUCCGUCCCUCUCCCUAAGGCUGUCUCGGCCCCCAACUGUGUUCUCGUCCCCUUCUCGGCCUGCGAGAGGGCA
Molecule: non-coding RNA, 446 nt
Organism: Microcebus murinus (gray mouse lemur)
Lineage: Eukaryota; Metazoa; Chordata; Mammalia; Primates; Cheirogaleidae
Source: RefSeq, a predicted model, not a curated record